GCCGCCGCGAGCGCCGAUUGGCCGAGCGCGCCGAGGAGGGGCCGGGCCGGUGCUGACCCCCCUCCCCCCGCCUUCCCCGCGCCCGCCUCCUCCGCGCCCUCCCCGCGGGCCCGCUCCUCUUUGUUGUCUGCUGCGGAACAAUACGGCGGCCAGGCGCUGCCCGGCCCCCGGCGCCCCCUAAAACCGACCAUGGUCAAGGUGGAGGCUGCCCCUGUGCACGCCGGCUCACCCGUCAGGCGCGAGGGAGGGAGGAUGCCGCCUUCCCCCCGCGGUGUCGCUGCAGCCCGGCGCCUCAUGGGGAGAGGCGAGGCGAGGCGAGGGGCCGGGCCUCCCCGCCGGCUGCCGCUGCUGGGGGAGGCCUGCGGGCGAGGCACCUGCUGGGCGAGGGGGCUGUCAGGAGGACCCGCCACCUCCCCAGGAGAGCCCCUCACAAGUGCAGGGACACCAGGAGAGGAGCUCAUCUGCAAUGGCAGCACUGAAGGAGAAGCGGCCUAAAGCCGAGUGCCCUGGGGGGGAUGCCCUCAGAGCACCCUCCACCAUGAGGCAGAUCUAUCCUUCAACCUACUGCCUUGGGACGCAAGACGCAAGGAGAGAUGUCCUAGCAUGGGCAGGUGCCACCACCGCACCCCUACGAACUCCCUCAAGACCCUGCGGGACACACCUCCCAGCAGCCACCAGGCAUUUGUGCCACUCACCCGUUUUGAAAAUCGUUAUUAGACAAGCAUUGCCAUGCUGCAAGACACCCAGACUGACUCCCUCCUGCAUGGCAGGCCUUGGGCAUGAUCAAGCUGGAGUGAAACCUGUCAUUUCAAGUGCACUGUGUGCUGGCAAAUAGUCAUGAGCUGCCUCCUAAGUUUAAAAUACCCAUUUAGUAAAACCAGAUUGGAAGGAACACCCUGCAGGUGGCAAGAUGGAAAUAGGACGAUGCUAAAAUAAUGCUAGAAGAAAGAGGAAUACUGAAGGACAAGCAAACUACACCCGCUUGCAUCUCAGGCAGGGAAUAGUUGGAAUUGCUGGACACUUUUCCACUCUCUCAUCACUUCCUUCCUUGUUGCAGUUAUUUUAUGCCCAUGCCCAGCUCAGGAUUGGAACUUGUCAAGAAUUUAGCACACACUUCGGAACAACAGAAGUUGCAGUAAUAGAUUGUGCAUUUUAACAGAAAAAAAAUUGCAUCUGUGUGUUUUUCUGCUGAGCCAGAAAAACCAUGACUAAGUCUCAGUUUUAAUCUGUUGAAUGGUGCAAGAGGACCUUACUCAUUUGAAUUUCUGCACCAAAUCUGCUUUCCUAGUGGUGGAAAUAUUGAACAGUGUAGAGAAUCAGGAUGAUUCAGAACACGGGAGCAUGCCACGUUAAAUAUACAAUAGACCUCAAUUUUAGCAGCAUUCAAAUAGGAUGUCGUUUCAUCCUUGCACUAAUUGAAAUCAAUCUGAAGGAGUCAGAGCUUUUGAGAGCUAAAAAUCAUAAUUGCUUUCUUAAAGGCAGCACCCUGUGUAAAAUUAAAUGCACUUUUCCAACAGCUUCACUAAUGCAGCAUUUGAUUGGCCCUUGAGGAUUCCUGGAGAUAUUUGUCAUUCAGAAUGGAAUCAGGUCAGCAGCUAAAAUUAACCACCCACCUCUCCCCUGUUCAGCUUGUAGAAUCACUGCUUUUGGUACUGCUCAGCUUGGGCCUUCCAAAAUGGGUGGGUUCUUACUACGAACCUAAAUUAUGCCUUAACAAGGAAUAUUGAUGGAUACAAUCAUUCAUAUUCUGAAAUGAAACUGUUGGGAAUCAGACUCACAGUCCCUUUGACUCCAGCCUGCAUUGAUUGGUUCUUGGGCAGCCUGCCAAACCGGGUGCUGCCUCUUACAGCAUCCACUGUUAAUCUGCCUCAGCGAGGCCUGCAAGCUCUACAUAAACUACAAUUUCUCUUCAUUAGUGUGAUUCUGCCUGCAUGAAUCUGAUAACAUAUGGGAUAUUAUCAUAAAACAGCCUAUUUCUCCAAUUCAUUUUCUCUUUUAUGAAGAUUAUGAAAUGUACUGCAAGUGCAUUGGGCAGAAUAAAACUGGAGAGUCUACUGUAUAGUUUAUCUUUGAUUCGGUUUCUAAAAUGCAAAUAGCCUUCCUUUUAAAUUCACAUUUCCCAAUACUACCAUGCGAAUACAUUAUGAAAACUGCUGACUCUCUCUUCUAUUUCCUCCAGUUCACUACAGGCCUGAUGUAUAACACAAGUCACUUGCCCAAGGAUAGAAGUUUAAUGUUCAGAGCCAGAAGAUACAGUACGAUGGAAAAAACCUGGAGGGCUUCCUCAUGAUAAUGAACUUCCUGAGAUGUACGUGCUCGAUCAGCUCAGUACAGGAAUUUUGAGACCUGGCUGGGGUAAGGAACACACACUCUUGGCACAGAUGCCCAUCCCACUUAGCUGUCAUCAUACCCAGAAUGCACAGGGGAAAUCAUGCUUAGGCAAAGUGUAUGGUGAGUCGAGUGAAGCUUUACCUCCCCUAGUUAGUCAUUAGCUAAAGCAGGGGUGCGUUGGAGGGAGUAAAAAGCCUUUAGCAAUAACUCCUUGCCCUUCCGUUUAAGCAUUCCUGGACAAACAAGAGUCAUUUUUCUGCUUUAACCUUGUCUAAUGUAAUGGGGGUGGUAUAGCUGUUGGAAUGAGAUUAUCAAGCUUGUUAUGGAUCUAGCUGGAGGAGGAUAAAUAUCAUUAACUUGAGAGUAGCAUCCAGUAUUGAUAAAGACACUUCAAGGAGUCAGCUUUUGUGGUCAACCUGUAAGUCUGCUAGCUGAAAGGAGACUAAGCUUCUUAUGAUCAGUCCCCAUAUUUUUCCUUACAAAAAGGUAGUGUGGAAUUCAGGAACGAAAUGAAUCAUGAACUGAGAGAAGUUGGCUUAAGAAGAUAACCUGCCUUCCUUCCUGAGCUGCUGCAAGAGGAGGAUGUUUAUGCCUACACUGCCAAUUAAAGCCUGGGAGUUUGGUAGAGGGGUUUUCAUUCCUCCCCAAAAAAAGGGUUAUAAGGUUGGGGCCUGCCACACUGACAUCUCUCCUUCAGGUGUCUUGAUCUGUCAACAUAAAUAUACUCAAGUGUUUGGUUUUUAUUCUCCGAUGAAGCCAAAACAAUAAGAGAAAUAAGAACUUCAUUUCCUUUGAAUAGAUCUGGUUCAUAUCAGGCUUUAAAUCUGUAGUAAGGUCUUAUUCUGCGUUUGAUAUUAACUUAAUACACAGCACUGGCUAUUGUAUGUUGUCUUCCUAUUUAAAAAAAAAAAAAAAAAAAAACCAACCGUGAUCAGAACAUUCAUUGCAGACAAAGCAAUUAAAACUAGCCCCCAACCUCUCCCACAAUAUUUUCAACAUUUACUUUAAACACUUUAAUUUAAAGAGAAAUAACUUACUCUUUCUUAAUAAAAAACAAGUCCUCUAUCUAAAGCUAUAAUAAAAAGUGUAAGUAAAUCUGCAAUACUCAUUAACAGUGACACAUCAAGACCCCUGGAGAAUGAAGUCUUCUGUUUAGCUAAGCACCAGAUAGUCUUUCCCAUUACCACCCCAUCCUGGUUCUGGCAUCCUGUUUGGGAGUGAGAAAAAAGUUCAGUCUCCACAUGCAUUCAAUUAUAGUAUUACUGGUGUGGCAGUAGUACCUGGAGGCCCCAAUCAGCGUCUAGCCCUACUGUUUUAAGCAGGUCACUUAUACUGAGCAUGAGAGAGUCCCCAUCUCAAAUCACUUAGCAUAAAAAUAAGCAAAAGCACACAUUCAAUCCUCGGGGGCUUCUGUAGGGGUUAAAUCCCAACUCAUGCCAGUAGGAUGUUGUUUUUUGGAUGUGAAUGUCUGUCUACUAGGAACCGAGUCUCAAAACUUGUUAACAGCCAUCAGAUGAUAACUAUUUUAGGCUGCUUUUGACCUUUUAGACAAUAAAAUCUGUUUUAAAAGAUUAUUAAAGUAUUAUGUGAAUCUUGCAGAACUUUGAAUGGUCUCAAGAAUAUUGUAAGUUCACUGAGUUUUGCAUAAUAUCUUUCAUAAUGUGCUUAGAUACAUCUGACCCAUGACAGUCAAAUUUUCCAUUGCAGUGCAAAGAUGUUACUUGCUGGCAAGUGAACAAGAAAGAAUGUUUUCCUAUUUGUGCCAGCUCCUUAUCCGUCAGGGAAACAAAGAUCAAUCAACAACAUUGAAGAGGCUGUUGUAGCACAAUUCAGUCGUAAGAUUUGCGGGGAAUCCUGGAGGGAGGGCUGGGCUGUAAUCCAUAAAGUAAGGCUGAAAUGAGAUGUCUUGGGCAGGAGUAUGUAAAAGAAAGGUGAGAAGAAUAGUUUAAAAGAAAACCUAGCAUAGCUACCAAUGCUGGGACAAAUGAAGAGGUGCUACUGGCAUUUAGGAAAUGAACACUGAGACUUGAAGAAUCCAGAACUAUACUAGUGUCGGACUGCCUGUGAGACAGACUGAGUGAGGUAAUUAGGGACAGCAUGAGAGCUUAGAAAUAGCUACCUGGUGAGCAGACUUGUUUUUUUUAACACAAAAUAAGUUUUCAAAGCAAAUGCCCAUAAUUAAUGAAAAAAAUGCAAUUUUUAACUAAGCCUUUUCCCCCUUUUCACCUGCUUCAAGAGGUCCUGCCAAAAAAGAAGCUGCCAUAUACCUGCAAGUGAUAAUCCCAAAGGAAGAGGAAUGUGGUAUAGGUUGUAAUCUGUACAUGGUUCCAUGAUUCUAGGGACAGGCUAUUGCUCAGUGCUAAAAUCCCAUCUUGCAUUCAGGAUAUGUGUUGAAAUUCUGGACUCGGUCCAUGCAAGAACUUGCAAGUCAUGAAAACAUUUAUAGCAGGACUCUAUAUGAACCUAACACCACUCCUCAGAUACAGGUACUCUCCCUGCAUGAAGUAUCUUCCUGCAAAUAGAUAGGUUCAAAUACUCUUGUGCUCCGGCUUCUGUAGGUCAUAAUAAUCUCCGUGACAAAAUCACAUCUAAAGAAACCAGCUGGGAAGUGACAAAUAGAUCAUACCUGUGCAGGGCCCAGCGAGUCAUGAAAAGCUUCACAAGUUUGGGUCAGUUUUGAUGCUUACUCAAGCCUGGAGACAAGCCUGCAGAGUUAAUCAUCUCUCUCUUCAACCCUAAUAGUUCAUUUGGCAGAGUAGGCUUCUACCACCACCCUCUCACCUCUGUGCUGUUCAGCAUCCUGCUGCAUCUCCUCCGAUUUGCACUGCUGCUUAAAUUUUAGUUCACAGUGCAGAUAGGGGGUAUAGCUAGUUACAUGCCUAGUACUCUGUUGGUUAUGUGUAAAUAAAUAUUAAGCUCCAGAUCACACACAAAAAUUUUGCAUCUGGAAAUAGCAGGGCUCAGCACCAUAACUUUCAACGCAGGUGACAAAGCAAGGUAUGCAGUGAAAUCAUCAAAAUGUGAAGGGGCUCAAUUUGAGAGGCAAGGAUCAUCUCUCUUGAGAUGUGGCAGAAAGUUAAGAGAAAAUACAAGCCGAGAGCAGUUGGCUUUGGAGACUGUAAGGAGAAAGCCUGAUGAAGAAUCCAAUCUUUAGUCUAAAAGAUUUGACUUUGAAGCAUCCAGUGGGUUUGAGGACACAGAGCUGUGUGUGGGGAGGUGGAAUCAGAGCCCAGGCUUUGUGCCAACCAGAUAACCCAAAGAACAGGAAAAAGGAAACCACAAAGCUCUGCCAUAAAUGCUGGGAUUAUCAGAGGGGAGGAUGAGCUGGUUCAGAUGAAGUAAUUGAUUUGAAACAUUCCUCAAAAUGCAGCUAAAGAUUGGAGUUUCAAGACAUUCAGUUCAGUUUUUUCCCCUCCUAUAGUUUUGCACUUUCUAUUUUUUGGCUGGGCUUGGAUGAGAAUGUGCCAAAAGACCGCAAGUAAAUCUGUCUGUUCUCACAGAGUUUCUGGCUCAACUAGGAGUAGGAGGAAUCCAGGCUCUCAUGAGAAAGCCUGUUUCCAUGCAAUUUCCAGACUAGUUUUGCAGACUCAGAAAGUCAGGAGAAGGUGCCAGACUUUGGGGGGGCUGCUGAACACUGAGCCUUUGGAAACUUGCUCAUCGCUAGCUACCAGGAGAGAAACUGAAAGCACGAAAGAAAGAGGGUAGAAGGAAACUGCGUUCUAACUAGCAUCACUAGAUAGGAAACCGGCUUCCUGCAAGGAAAUAUGGGGGGGUUAGUUCCUGAGGAUCAUAGUAAGUAGGACUAAAUGGAGCUGGUAGGAACAGCAAAGAACUGAUGAUCUGAAUGUUGUAGCCUGCUGGCACAGGACUGCAUAAGACUGAUAAUAUGGACCGGGAGCAGACAGGGUAUUGUGUCACAGCUCCACAUAAUUUAUCAGGGAAAGUUUAAAGAUGAAGAGAGAGGAAGAAAAAAGGAUAUAGUCCAUGAAUGACAGGUGAAUACAGAACAUCUACUCCAGCAAAUUUUAAGUGCCCCCAGUUUUUGUCAUGGAUGUUAAAAUCACACAGAAAAAGUAUAAUGUAGCACAUAUGUGGAAUAUAUAUAUACUGGUUGGGCCAGUAAAAUGUGGAAAGUACAAUGAUUAAGUUUGCGGAUGACACCAAGCUGUGGGGAAAUGUAGGCACAUCAGAGGAUAGUGUAAGGAUCCAGGAUGACCUUGAUAGGUUCGUUCUAUGGGCUGAACAGAAUCAGAUGAGGAGAAGCUGAGAGGCAUGGGACUCUUCAGCCUGGAAAACCAAAGGCUCAGGGGUGACCUGGUGGCAGCCUAUGAGUAUAUAAGGGGUACAGGGGUAUAUCAGGACCUGGGAGAACAUCUGUUCACCAGGACACCCCAAGGGAAGAUGACGUCUAAUGGUCACAAACUCCUGAAAGACCGUUUUAGGAUGGGCAUAAGGAAAAACUUAUAGAGCCUGGAAUAGACUUCCCCCAGAAGUAGUGCAAGCACCUACCCUGGACACUUUAAAAAAACACUUAGAUGCUUAUCGUCCUGGGAUCAUUUGACCCCAGCUGACUUCCUGCUCCUUGGGCAGGGGGCUGGACCCAAUGAUCUUUCAAGGUCCCUUCCAGCCCUAAUGUCUAUGAAAUCUAUGAAACAGGGAAAGUGCUGGGUCCUUCAUCUGGGUAGGAAGAACCUUCACCAUAACUACAUGAUGUGUGGUAGUCCACUGGCUGGCACAGCAUCUGAAUGGGACCUGGGGAUAACAAAUCGACCAGAGGAUGAACAUGAGCCAACAGUGCGAUGAAGUCGCCAGCAUGGCAAACAGAACUGUGAUGUGCAUCAGCCAAUGAGUGGCCAAUAGAUCCAGAGAGGUGCUUCUCCCUCUCUAUUCAGCACUGGUGAGGCCACAGCUGGAGUACUGUGUCCAGUUCAGGGCACCGCACUUCAGGAAGAAUGUGGAUAAGCUCAAGAGGGUACAGAGAAGGGCCACCUGUAUGCUUCAGGGCCUGGAGGAUAGGUCCUAUGAGGAGAGGCUCUGAAAACUGGGUCUGUUCAGUUUAAGUAAGAGAAGAGGUGACUUGAUAGUGGCCUGCAAGUAUGUUAGGGGUGAGCACCAAGAUCUAAGGGAGCAACUCUUCAAGAAGAUACCCCUUGGGAGGACCAGGACCAAUGGGCACAAUCUAAUUAAAGAAAAAUUUAGGCUGGACAUAAGGAAAAAAUUAUUUUCUGUAAGGGUAAUUAGAAUCUGAAACACACACCCAACAGAGGUGGUGCAGUCACCAUCCUUGGAGGUGUUCAAGAGGAGGCUGGAUAAGCACCUUGUUGUGCCCAUUUGAGCCCAAUAAUCUCCUGCCCAUGGCAAGAGACCAGACUCAAUGAUCUUUCAGGUCCCUUCUGGUCCUUUGAUUCUGUAUCCCAGUAUCAUAGUUAGCUCCCCGCAUCCCAUUUAAUUAGACACGGUGAAGGAAACAAAGGUUACCAAAAGUUUCAUCUAAUCUAUUUGCAACCUCACAAGUUUCUCCCUAAAUUUUUGAGACAAGACCAGCCAAACAGGUUCAUGGCUAGGUAGAAUUUUAACCAAGGUUAGCACCCGCAACUUGAGUGUGCACAAGAAGUCUGAAAACAUGAGUCAAAUGUCACCAAGAUGCAAUUCUUUUGUUCAGCAUAACAGUCGUGGAAUGAGAAGAGACACUUACCAGCAAUGCCUAUUGGGAAAGAACAUUUGAAAGACAAUGAAUUAAGGUAACAGAAGCAAAACAUAUUUUAGUUACAUAUCCUCAUUGAAAGAAAACUUCACACUUUAUGAGGGUAAAGGUUAUGGCUCCAGGAAAAGAGGAGAGAGGAAAUUUCAGUCACCCUGGACCUGAUCCAAAAGUCACUGAAGAGACUCCCAUUUACUGCUUUAGGAAUUGGAUUAGGCCCACUGUAAAGUAUUCCAAUAAAAAAAUAAAACUAUGCAACAAUAGAGAACACUGAAACAAUAGCCAGGAUGAUCUUUAACAACAUAACUGAUCUUGAAGAGUCAACCCAGAAACCCUAAAACUGCACAAUGGGAGACUAACAUGAUCUUUAUUUUUUUUUUUAAUCCCUAGAGUCAAUGGGGCAAUUUGGGGCAGCGUUUGCAGGCUCAGGCCUUGAGCUCCCCUUCCCCCCCACACCUGUCUCACAUUUUGCCUCCCAUUCCCUUUGAUUCUCAUUGCCAUGCAUUUGCAUUUUCACAGACCUGCAUUUUGCAUACUGGCUUCUCUUCCACCAUGGAAAACACAUAACACCAGCAAUUCUCCCUAUGCCUGAAGAAGGGUGUUUGCGCCCAAAAGCUUGCAGAGAACAAUUUUUCCAACUAUUUAGUUGGUCUAAUAAAAGAAAACAGAAAACUGUUUCUAUGUCCUUAGACCAACACAGCUCCAAUCAACAACCCUGACAUAGAGGGGCAUUGCAAGGAGAGGAAUACCUUAUGCUACGUGAGAAUCAGGGAGGAGAAAAAAAGUGAUGUGAACUGGUUCACGAGAAAAUCCCCUCCAUGAGAGCAGCCAGGGAGCAGAAGCAGAGCCACGUGGGCUGUGUCAGUUUGUACGUCAGCUUGUUCAAUUUGCUUUGUGUCACAACCCAAAGUUGUGAUUUGUUGUUUGUGUGUGCUUCGGCAACGCUAAAUUAUGUUCCUGUUAAAAUUACAGCUUCCUUGCACGGUGGAGUUCUCUGCUGCAGAAGAGAACCCCGGUGCAAUGGAGAAUUUCCCACCAAAUUUGCAGCUUUCUUUGCAGGGUGCAUUUCUCUGCUGCAGAGGAGAAAUGCUCGUUGCAAAGAGUUCCCGCCAUUCGUAUUAUAAUUCGAGCCCCAUUAUUGGCUUGUGCUAAAUUAUGCACACGUGGCGGCUAGUGAUUGGCUUGCUAGCCGCAUAAAAAGCUUGAGUGGUUUCCGCCCAAGUUGGAGGACUCCACAAACAUCAGGAGGAGGAGACUUCACCCUGUGUGAAGAUCUCUAAGCGCUGCGGAUCCUUACGGACCCAAUGCAUUUCUUAAGCAGGCAACAGAGGUCUGAUCAGCCUCUAGCCUCUCCCUGUCGCCGAGCGCAAUCCUAGACGUAUCCCUAUCCUAUAUACCCAAUUUUCGAACCCACGGAGCCUUAACAGCUCCAGGGGCCUGGGAACCGAACAAAACCCAUGGAGAUUCAGCCACUCCGUGAGGAAAGAAUUGCCGAACCUGUGGAGCCUAAACAACUCCGGGGCCAAAGAACUGAAUUUGUCAGAGUCCUCCAACGAGGAUUUAAGCGGAGCUGCACCUGGAAAACUGUCCAGCCUACACCGCGACCAUCUUGGGUGUAAGUAAAUAAUCUUUUCAAUCAACCACUACGCCUCCGUGACUAAUUCUAGCCCGCGCAUACCUUGCCGCCCCGCGGUUUUCUCUGGCCCCACGUGCCCGGGCUGCUGGCCACAGUCCGCGUGCGCAAAGACGGGCCCGGCUCGCCCCUGGCCUGCACACUUUCCUUCUCCCAUGGUAGCAGAGCUUGCAUCAGUAUCAUUUUGACGCUCAAAUCUUGUCAUGGCCUUCUUUUGUUUAUGUAUCUCAACUCCACAGACUAGCCUUGACAAGAUCCUACAAAACGUGGUAGUGAUUUUAAAUGCCAUGGAAGUAAAUUGUAAAGCAGCACUAACCCUGUCACUUAGAAGCCUGGCAGAGUUGCUACAAGUGCUCCUACACGUUUCCUCUCCCAGUUAAAAUCUCAAUCCUUUGGAAUAUAUUUAAGUUCCUUACUUGAGAACUAUCCAUUUUUCAAAGAUUUCAAAUCUCUGUGAUUUUCAUAUGAAAGGUUUAUUCUAAUGGAAUGUCACUUCAGUGCCAGCUAGAGUGGUGUGCCCAGUGUCACUUUCCUGGGGUCCAAAGAAAGGCAAUACUUACAUCCCUUUCUUCUUUAGUUAUAUCAAGUAACGUAACUGGAGUAUCUAACUGAUAAGUUCAACAGCAGGUAUUUGGCUGGCAAGGGACUGAAAAAGAGAAGAGAGAGGCAGUCAAAGCUUAACUUAUGGGAUGUUGUGGCAACACACGGCACAUAAAAUUGCAUGUGAAGUAGUAACUCAAUGAACUCCAAAAUACUCCAGAGUACUUAAAAAAAGAAAUAAAUCCACAGUGAGUGGAUCUAAAUGAGACUUCAUGUUGAGCUAUUGAGAAGCACUGGAAUAAAAAUGGGGCUUUUCUUUCAAAAUGUCAUAUAUGUGGUAUGCGAAGAAACAAAUCAUCAAACAAAUGUCAGUCUCCAGCAGAGAUACAAGUUGACAUCUCAAUAUAAAACCAGCCUAGAUGACAAUAGCAAUAAUACAACUAGGAUAUAGACCUAGAAUGAGAAGUAUAUGAAAGUUGUAGCAGACCCUUAAAUUCACUGGUUUGUAAAUGGAAUGGGAUUAAUAAGGAGUGAAGAAAGGUAAUAUGGUGAAGGGGAACUGACUCUUCAUUCCUGAACAAGCCAGUUUAUUUCAGACACUCUAAGGCUUGGGAUUUUUAAAUGGUGUGAAUUUUUUGUGAAGGAAUUGUGAUAUUGUGUGUAGAUGUAACUUGACCUCCCUUGAAACAUAUCCAGCCAUAACUUUUUAACAAAGUCUUUUUGUUCAGGAAUUUCCCAAAUUGUAUAAUGAGUAGCUUAAGUUUAAAUCAAGUUGGUGAAUGAAGUUCAAAGGAAGGAGGCCUCUCACAUGACAGUUCUCAGUCCCCCUUCCUGCCAACCCGGGUCCCAUAUGGCGCACUAACUUUUAGAAUUCAGAAAGUUGUGUUUAAACAUGGUUACAGACUCUUCCACACCCAGUGCCACAUCCCCUUUCCCAUCUGUGUUCCAGCCUCUCAGAACUUCACAUGUUCUUCCCUCAUCCCUCCUGCUUUCAGUCUACAUGUCUCCACCUCCAGUCCUAUCCAGAAGUCCCGGUAGCACAGUCUGCUGUCAAAAGAAGAGCAAAUCUUAUUUAUAAAUAUUUUUUAAACUGCUAGUCAUUUAAAUAUGGCCCCCUCAUACGUGGGAAAAAAGCUCUGUGGGCAUGCAGCCCAGCAAUUAGCUACAGGUUAACUGGGGAAGCACAGGUGGUGGGAGGAGAAAAGCAAAGAGAGAAGAAACCAUGUACAACUUCCUGUUAAUUGAAGGAAUGCAGAAGUUCUGCACAAGACAUUUCUCUGCCCUAGUCCAACAGGGAAUCAAAAGGAGGGCUUUUCUCCCUUCAGUCUGUAUAUACAGUGAGGAACAAAGACAAAGAGAGUGAAGGUCACCCAUACAUAAGUGAUACAGAUAACAUCAGCCUGGGCUUUAAUUUUCAGCUCUGCAUGGAGGGCGAGAGACAAAGGUACAAAUGGAUAUUAAAAAACAGACAUCUGAUUUUUACCUCCCCUGCUCUGAGCAUAAUGAGUAUGUGGAAUUGUUUUCCAGGCAUGCUUGCUAAAGGAAAGUCGCUGCCUCCAUGACUACUAAAAUAGGGCCAGGGCUGGGAGAGGGGCCAAGGAUAAUCACACUGAGGUGUUUAUUAUGUAACGUGUCAUCUACCCACUCCAUUACAUUAAAGGCACAGGGACUUCUCUGAAAGGUGGCAUCCAAUAUAUUUUUGAAGGUGUAUUCUUAAGCGUUGACUAUUUUUCAGAGCGCUGUGAGCUCAUGUUUCACAAACCUACCUUUCCCCCCAGGGACUAGGGAGAAAAGCAGCAAAAGGAUAUAAAUUAGAAAUGAGAGAUCUUUAAUGGUGCUGAUUAUCAGAUUGCUGUCAGAACUGUGUAGGUGGUGUAUUAUACUGGAAUUGUUUAUUGCAGCGGUUCCCAAUCUGUGGUAUGGGUACCACCACUGGUAUACAGACAACCUGGCAGUGGUACGCGUUACCAGAUUUAUUACAAUUACUCUACAUGACAAAAAUUUGCUGGUGGUACUUAAGGUUGAACUGAAAAACUUGCUGGUGGUAUUUAAGGUUGUAUUGUUUUAAGUUGGUGGUGCACAAUCUGUCGAGUUUAGGAACCACUGGUUUAUUGUAUUUGCUUUAAGUAUCAUGAUCUUUAACAUCUGCAAAAAUAUCCUAGGCUUAUGCUGGACACUUCUUAUUCUAAAUCAGAAGCAGUAAUAAUAAAUUAAUAUGCUAUGUGUGUGUUUCAGUCACCCCAUAAAUUUCUUGAUGCUGUAAUAAUCCUUGCACUGCAUUCAAGCCUUGACCUAAUGAGUACCCUCUAAUGGCCCAAGGGUGUAGCUUGUAUUUAUGGACAUUGAAUUUUCGGGACUCUUUUGAAUGAAAGCCAUAAGCAAAUAUGUAAUGCAUCUAACAAUCCAUCAGGGAACUGAACUAAAACCACUAACACUUUAGCCAUAUAUGUAGCUUUAGGCUUCAAAAGAUAAGAAAUUAAUUCUCUAAUUCCCUACUCUUCCUAAUAUAUUUAAAUCAGACACUGAAUAAACAUUUUAGCCACUUAGAUAAUGACAUACACAUCUAGGAAAGUAAGAGUUAAUUGACAUAACAGAUAAAGAAGAAUAUUUCAACAACCUUCCUAGAAUACAAUGGCUGGUAGGCCUUUGACAGCAGCAGCUGCAGGCUAGCUCACAGUCUGAUCCCUAGCUCAGCUGUCACAUUACAUACUGGGAGACAAGGAACCUCUGCUAGCCUAACAGCCGUCUCACUUAAUGGAUUGCCCAGUUCACCGCUUCCAGACAUCAUCCAUUUUUUCCUGCUCAAAUCCUCUUUGCACACUUUAGUGUGGUUUCUAGUUCAAACUUGCCUUGGGGAUAAAGAAAUGGUCACAUUCCAGACUAUCACUGCACAGGCGAGAAACAAAAUCCCUUUUUUCUUCCCCGGCCUCAGGUUUGAAAUGAGAUAAUACUAUCAAUGAUCUUAACAGACCACCAUUUGGAACUUCCAGUGAAAGCAGUUAGGAUUUCAUAACAAAUUUCACAGUCAUCUCAGAAUGAAUAUGGUAUAACGUGCAUGUAAGGAAAAGAACACUCUUUGAUUAAAGGAUACCACAGAUAGCAAUCUUCCUAAACCUAUUUUUGCCUCUUUUAGGGGAAACAGGGUGCUGUGGAUGAGUGCUGUGACACAUGUCUGUAAGUAAACUCUUGUGCAUACGAGCGAAGCUCUUAUCUUCAUAAUCUCCUAACUGUGAUAGGAGUUGGGUAAGCAAAGCCAAGGUUAGAAUUCUGUUCUGGCUAACAAUAGAAGCAUGUGGUGCUUUUCAGAGGAUGAAUGCCAGUUUCUUACUGCAGGUGCACUUGUGGUGUGGCCACAGGAGGAAAGCAAUAACUGACAUCCUUUUCUAUUCAAUUCACAGUCAAAAGAGUAUUUGUAAUUUAGUAGUUGACUAGCAGAAGCUCAGCCCAUAUGGUAGCUGUUGUUUGGCAAAGAAAAAAAAAACAGUACAUUACUUAAACCAGAAAGAUGAUGCAGGCUGCACAUUAACUCUGAGCUUGAAGUGGGCCCUGGCCCAGUAUUAUUCUUAUUCAAAUAGGUGCAUGCUCACACUUGGAAUAAGAUACAAAACUCCAUUUCCCGAUACCGCAAAUUACUGUUUUCUUUACUCAUUCAUUUUCCUCCUGAUUACAUGAAAAAAAAUCUGGCUAUAAAUUUACAUAAACCUCCCAUGAGAAAUACGAAAGGUUAAAAGUAAAGCCAGCUGGAAAAUAUGUAGGGAGUUCAACACAAAUUUGAGAUCGGUUAUUUUGCUUAUAAUUUCUCUCCCAUUUCCACCCCAAAUUCAGAGUUCUAAAAAGCCCAGUAGUCACUAUCUAGAACAUUUAACUCUUUUUGCACAGGUGGACGAAAUACAAAAUGUAGAGAUCUUUUUGUGGGAUACCCCUAGGGGGAAAAAUUAGUUUUGAAUGAAAACGUUUGGAUGAAUUAGGAAGAUCUUACUGACUUUUUUUGCUUUAUACUUUUUUUUUUUUUAUUUUUUUUAAGGAAAAUAUGGACAGCUGCAAUCAUGUUCUUAAUAAUACAGUAAUCAUAGGAGAAUAUCUCAUCAUGCUGGUUUAAGUAUAAAACAAACUCUGACCAAAAAACUUAAAGGACUGGGGAGAACUAUGAUCAAAUGAAAGGCGAAUAACCAGUGAGUUUGCAUCUAAAAUGUUGUGCUGAUUUGGGGAUGUUGCAGAAUACCAUAAAUUAAUAGACCAGUACAGAGUAUAUGUAUAGUCCAGGAUAAAAUGAUGUGAACUUACUGGUUUUAGAUUUAUCUUCUACAACUGUUCUUGAGGUCAUCAAUAGAACAAUAGAGAGAAGGGCUGAAAUGAGGGAAAAGAGCAGGAAGAAAAGGGAGAAAGUAUUACGAGGAAUCUUGUUCAGUUUCAGGUUUAGUUAUACCCUCCAAACUCAAAUCAGGUUUGCCAAAAAGCUCAUGGAAGCAGUGGAUCUGGCACUGAUUUAUGACUUGAGGUGAAAACCAGGCAAAACGUGGCAGUUCCAGUUGUAAUUUGCAUUAGACAAGAAUUUGUCUUCAUUUUGAACAAGUUCUAAAUAGGCUAAUCAACUUAAAAUGACAAGUCAGCUUCAAGGUUAGUCAGGUUAAAAACAGUAAAAAACAGUACAAAAACAGUAAAAAAUUAUGCACCCCUCCUCCUGAUCCCUCCUGACUCAAUCUGCAAGUUUGAGUGUCUUGCAAUCACAUCUUCCUCAUGUUUCUCUUCUUUGUUGCACAUGAAAAACCCCAUACAAACAAAACAGGAAAUUGACUGAAUAUGCAGGGGAAGCAGUGAAACUAAAUAUAAAGAGCUGUCAAAUACACAAGUGACCUGAAAAGUGGAAAGAAAAAUAUUUGUUUCCUUUAAUCUCCUUCGGUUAUAAUUGGAAAAACAUUGUGACAAAUUUGGAAUCCUCUGAUAUUGUAAUAAUAAAAACCAUCUAUACAGAUUUUUUUAACACGGUAGUGUCUCUUUAAGAAUUUACCCAUUUAAUCUCAACGUAUGUGACUUCAGGUAAUAUUUCUGGGGCCAAUUUCAUCCCCAGUGUACCUAUAUUAAGUGGGUUGACGCAAAUGAUAUUACCCCUGGGAUUAAUUUGGGCCUUAGAGUUUAAGGCCACUAACAUAAAAGAGCAGCAGCGCCUAAAAGGCAAAAUACAAACAAGAUUUAAGACAAAGUGAUAGAAAAGGCAAUAAGGGGAGUAUAUUUUCCUUGUUUCAACUCAGUAAUUGGCUGUGGUCAGGGAACUCCGUUCUUAGGACUCUAAAAAAAUCACUAAUCCUCAGCGGCUCAAUUGCAAUUUACAGAGGUCUGGGCCACAAGAAAUGCUCUGGAGUCUAACGCUGGGAUGUGUAGUAAGGAACAGUAAAUACAUCAUCCAGGGCAGUUUAAAUGAGCCAUUUGCAAGAAACCCAAUUGAGGUUAAGUUAUUUUAAAUUAGAAAAUUGUAUUUGUUGUUUGAUCAGUAUUUCAAUUCACAUAGAAAUCUGUUUUCCUUGUGCAUGAUGAGGACUGCAAGUUGCUGCAGGUAAAUAGAUAUAGUUUGAGUAUUUUGCUGCAAAGGAAAUUUAAAAGGUCAAUCAGAAUGGAAAAUACUUUUUCCCCUUGGUUCUUCUGUUCCAGACCCUGCUGAUAAAUCUAUUUAGACUGUAGAAUUAAGAAAAAAAAAAUCUAUGGUAGGGCCCAGCUAGAAUAAGUAAAGCAUAUGAGUUAGCCACAUGGUGGACAUGUUAGGAAUGUUACAUUAGGCUGUGCACAUCUCUCAUUACUAGCAUCUUUAACAUGUUGCUGCAGAUAGUUAAAAAUAAACAAGUUGCAUGGUUGUCUAACUAUUUCAAACAAGCAUGUUGUAGGUGCAUGUGAUAGUCCUGCAAGUUUUAUUAGUAAAGCAGGAGUCAACAUUUGUGAUUUACAGUCUGUAGAAAAGAUGAUGUCAUUGUAAUGUGAACAAGGUCAGAAUCCCCAAAGACGCAUUACCCUGACAAUAGGAUGAGAUCAUGCUGUAUACUUGUCUGCUCCAGAGGGAAAUAAUCAAGCAAACCUAAAUGUAAAAGCUGUGCUGAGCAUUAGGCAAAACCUACAGAGGCAGCAUUUGGUCUAAUGUAAUACAGUGGAGUGCUGUAGAUUUCUUUGAGCUUCACUCACGUACAAGCUUCUGCAAGGACCCGUUCCAAAUCUCACGUAGGUUAAAUCUUCAACCGACUUCCUUGGGAGCUGGACCAGACCCUGAGAAUCAGGCACGGGAAGCACUCAGUAUGUCUCAGGAUGUGGUCCCAGAGGCAGAGAAGCGCAUCUUUACGCAAGCCUUUAAAACCUGAGAGUAUAACACGUGCUGAAAAUGAUACAAGGUCUACAGAUUAACAGCAACAAAAUGCUAUGAAGAAUGAAAUUGAGGUUCUCUCUCAAUUCUUUGUGGUGAAGGGGAUUUUAUUUUCCCAGGGGUUCAUGAGGAAUUAAUGCUACAUUUACUUUGUUAGAAAGCUGCAAAGAAAAUGUUACAAACUUAAGCAGCUUGAGUUGACAAUUUUAUUUUGUUUCUGCGUUAUGACAGUACCGUGUGGUUUACCAGAGAACAACAAUCUGUCUUUGAACCUCCUAUAUACUUUAAUGGAAAAGUCACAUCCCUGAAGUAAAAGUCUGUGGCUUGGUUAAAAUCCAGGCCUUCAGUAUAAAUUCCCCUAAUAAUUUCUGAGCUGAAGUUCUCAGCUGGUGGAAAUCAGCAUAGCUCCCUUGACUUAAAUGUAGCUAAAGUGAACAACAAAGACUUCAGCAGAGUUAAACAUAUUUGCAACAGCUACUGAGAGUGUCUAAGCUUUUUUGUUUGGUUGGUUUUGUCUUUGUAGGAGUCAUUUCACUAGAACUGUAUUGGUUUCAUCCCCAUUCAAUUGUAUAGUAUUCUCCUAUAAAGGGAAGGAAGUUUCUUCUGAUGAAAAGGAAAAACUGUCAGUAUAGAGCAAGGAGUGAUGCUAAUCUUCUGAAACAAGAAUGACCUUACUAGUUUAUUAAUACGUUCACAGACUAAGACAUAGCAUUUAAAAAGGCUUUGUAGAACUGGAUUUGCUACUCCAGAGCUUCUCUCCUUUGUAAAUGGGUAGAAGAAGAAAGUUAAACAAAUAUGAACUGCUAGGACUUCUGAAGUGCAACCAAAGACCUACACAGUCUCCUUAAUAAAGAAUUACAAUUGUGUUCCUGCUUAAGCUAA
Molecule: long non-coding RNA, 17430 nt
Organism: Alligator mississippiensis (American alligator)
Lineage: Eukaryota; Metazoa; Chordata; Crocodylia; Alligatoridae
Exons: 4
Source: RefSeq, a predicted model, not a curated record